AGGAUCGUGUCACGUGUCAAGUCA
Molecule: non-coding RNA, 24 nt
Filed under: Arabidopsis thaliana (thale cress)
Lineage: Eukaryota; Viridiplantae; Streptophyta; Magnoliopsida; Brassicales; Brassicaceae
Source: RNAcentral